Molecule: unclassified non-coding RNA, 81 nt
Organism: Ictidomys tridecemlineatus (thirteen-lined ground squirrel)
Lineage: Eukaryota; Metazoa; Chordata; Mammalia; Rodentia; Sciuridae
Source: Ensembl
AAAGGCCCUAACCACGGAGCCUCGCAAUCGUUCUCCGCUUUGCCGUGGCCGAAAUCUAGAUUCAAAAAGAGCUCCCGGAGG